GUCCCCAUAGCGUAGUGGUCAGCGUUUGUGUGCUUUAUCCCCAGCGUAUAUAUUUAUCUAGCGAUUUGAUUUAGGGCUGCGAAAGACAUCGGUUCGAAUCCGACCGGGGGACU
Podospora fimiseda is the source of this 113-nucleotide non-coding RNA. Lineage: Eukaryota; Fungi; Ascomycota; Sordariomycetes; Sordariales; Podosporaceae. The record is from the annotation of a GenBank genome assembly.